GCCUAUUAAAAGAGUUGGAAAAUACGAACAAUAGUUUAAACACUAAAGAAUUUGGCGGUGUUUUAUUUAAUUAGGGGAACCUGUCCCAUAAUCGAUAACCCACGAAGGCCUUACCUAAUUUUGAAACUCAGUUAGUGUACUGCCGUCUUAAGUAUACCUUUAUGAGAGUAUACAAUUAAUUAUAAAUAAUAAUACGUCAGGUCAAAGUGCAGCUUAUAAUUAGGUGGAGAUGGGUUACAAUCUUAAUAAAGAUACGGAAAAAUAUAAUAAACAAUAUUUUAAAGGUGGACUUAAUAGUAAUUAAAUAAUAGUUUAAUGAAUAUAACUC
RNAcentral lists this ribosomal RNA (328 nucleotides) under Glossiphonia complanata. Its description in RNAcentral is "partial 12S ribosomal RNA". Lineage: Eukaryota; Metazoa; Annelida; Clitellata; Rhynchobdellida; Glossiphoniidae. The record is from RNAcentral.